AAAAUGUUAGGGGUCGGUGGUUAGGGAUGCAAACGGAUCCGGGUUGGUGGAGCUUCCGCCCCGAUCCGUCCCGACAGGGGCAGUAAAUGGAAGAAAAUAAACGAAUUCGGGGCAGGAAACAGGUAAGUUUUACGAUCCGAGACGGAUUCGGGGCAGAAAACGGGGGAAAUUUUGAUCCGCCCCGAAUCCGCCCCGAAUCCGUCCUGUCAUGAUCCGCCCCGAAUCCGUCCCGAAUCUACCCCGAAUCCGCCCCGUCAUGAUCCGCCCCGAAUCCGCCCCGAAUAUCAUUUAUAUUUUUUAAAAAAUAUUCCUAAAAAAUAAUAUAUUUACAAAAAAGCUCAAAAUACAAAUAAGUUAUUACUCUUAUUUCUAAUGUAUUUGAAACAUUUGAAUUUUGUUUUGAAUUGUGAUUGAUAUUUUUAAUUUUUACUAUUAAUAUUGUUAAAUUAUAUAUAUAAUAUUAUUAAAAAUUAUUAAUUUAUAUUUUACAAAAUAUUAAUAAUAUUAUAAUUUUAUAAAAAAUAUUAGUUGGCGGGAUGGAUUCAGGACGCCGGCGGGAAGCAAGUUACGAGGGGGGGCGGAUUAUGAGAUGUAUUUUUUAACCCGUCAUAGAUUCGGGGCGGGAGGCAGGGUNCGAGGGGGGGCGGAUUAUGAUAUGUAUUUUUUAACCCGUCAUGGAUUCGGGGCGGGAGGCAGGGUGGGUUUUUGCUAGUAGGGGCUGGAGGCGGGCGGAU
This 734-nucleotide long non-coding RNA is filed under the name Ananas comosus (pineapple). RNAcentral's name for it is "long non-coding RNA (ACOM_LNC032082)". The record is from RNAcentral. Lineage: Eukaryota; Viridiplantae; Streptophyta; Magnoliopsida; Poales; Bromeliaceae.